GGAAAACACCACCUUUGGUUUGUGGACAUAUCAGCCCUGCUGAAGGCAGCGAAAGCCCACUGUUGACCAGGUCUGGGGGUCUGUAUGCAGCUGGAAGAUCUGAUGCAGAAUCUGAGACUGAUGACUGGAGACAUUAUAGAAGGAGUGUCAUCAGACGAAGUUAUUAGACCGGAUGAGUUUAUGAACUGUAAGAAGGCCCAUGAGGUUCAGGCAGUGUCUGAGGUUGUGGCUUGACAGAGACAGCAGCCUGUUUUCCCCUUUGACCUCAUAUAUCAAUGCAGAAACUGAGCUCAAGACACUGAUCACAGAGCUGGAGGAUGCAGUUCUGGUUGGUCUGCAUACAUGUGGAGAUUUGGCCCCCAGCACUCUGCGGAGGU
Long non-coding RNA from Cyprinus carpio (common carp), 377 nucleotides. RefSeq lists it as uncharacterized. NCBI's taxonomy places the organism in Eukaryota, Metazoa, Chordata, Actinopteri, Cypriniformes, Cyprinidae. The transcript is spliced from 3 exons. The record is from RefSeq and is a predicted model, not a curated record.